GCAAGGGGAGCCCGCCCGGCCGUCCUUGCUGCCCUCCUUUCUGUUUUCUCGGCCCAGGACCGCAGAAAGCUCCCUCCCCGGGUCAGCCCAGCACAGCCAGGUCUAAAUGGUGAAAACAGUGUUAAAUCCACAAACUGCUUUUAAAGCCUUUGCUUUUGAACCAUAAGGCUGAGGUUAAAAAACUGUUAAACCUUCCCCAAGAAUGUGCGCCGACCCCAGCAGAAGUUUAUGGUCCUCCCGGGUGUCCCAGAGCCUAGAAUGAGUCUGGCAGCAGUGACUCUGCUGCAGAAGCUUAAUCCAGUUGAAGGAACUAGGAGCAUUCACGUUGCCACGAACGGCUGCGUCGGCUGCGUCCGGCGGGGCGUGAGCAUGCAGUGGAGCCGUGCUUGGCCGCCAAAAGGACUGAAGCACCGACACCUGCUAUGCCGCAAAUGAACCUUGGGGAUGUGAUGCUCAGUGCAAGAAGCUGGUCACUAAAGGUCCUAUAUUGCAUGACUCCACUCAUACGACGUGGCCAGAAUGGGCAAAUAUUGCAGCUUUGCCUUGCCGGGCUGCGGACGUCAGGGCAGCGGCAGCCGGGAAGAUGAAGGCUUCGAGCGCAGGUGAGCCAGACACCAGCGUCAGCCCCAGGUGUUGCCAGGAGACAUCAGGUGGAGGCCAGUGGGAACACCGGGCUGACUCACGCCCGGGGGCCAGUAGGUUGCAGCGUGAGUCUCCUACCCCUUCAAGGGACACACGUUUGUCACACACCUACUGUGACUGGCACAGCCUCAGGCCCUGAGGACACAGCAGUGACUGGAACAGACGUCCUCCCCACCCCACCCCUCCACCCACAUUCUCAUGCAGAAGGCGGCAGUAAGCAAGGAGCCAGCUCAGCUGUUGCUACCCUUUGGAAGCUUCUCCUGGUCCCACCGUUGGGAAUGCUCCGUGAAUCACAUCAAAUAAAUUUUAUUUUCUAAACAUUAA
Molecule: long non-coding RNA, 966 nt
Organism: Lemur catta (Ring-tailed lemur)
Lineage: Eukaryota; Metazoa; Chordata; Mammalia; Primates; Lemuridae
Exons: 2
Source: RefSeq, a predicted model, not a curated record